RNAcentral lists this ribosomal RNA (253 nucleotides) under uncultured bacterium. RNAcentral describes it as "partial 16S ribosomal RNA". It matches the Rfam family "Bacterial small subunit ribosomal RNA", at positions 524 to 776 of the family's 1533-position model. The record is from RNAcentral.
UACGGGGGGGGCAAGCGUUGUUCGGAAUUACUGGGCGUAAAGGGCUCGUAGGUGGCCAACUAAGUCAGACGUGAAAUCCCUCAGCUUAACUGGGGAACUGCGUCUGAUACUGGAUGGCUUGAGUUUGGGAGAGGGAUGCGGAAUUCCAGGUGUAGCGGUGAAAUGCGCAGAUAUUAGGAGGAACACCGGUGGCGAAGGCGCCACUCUGGGCCGAAACUGACGCUGAGGAGCGAAAGCGUGGGUAGCAAACAGG